CGAGCACGCGCGUGUGGCAUAUCAAUAAGCGGAGGAAAAGAAACUAACCUAGGAUUCCCUUAGUAACGGCGAGUGAAGCGGGAAGAGCUCAAAUUUGAAAUCUUCAAGGGUUUACCUUGACGAAUUGUAGUUUAAAGAAGUGUUUUCUGUUAGAGUUCGGUAAAAGUUCUUUGGAAUAGGACAUCAUAGAGGGUGAGAAUCCCGUAUUUGAUCAGUUGCAUUUCUAGCUGUGUGAUACACUUUCAAAGAGUCGGAUUGUUUGGGAAUGCAGUCCAAAAUGGGUGGUAAAUUUCGAGUCUAAAGCUAAAUAUUGGCGAGAGACCGAUAGCGAACAAGUACCGUGAGGGAAAGAUGAAAAGAACUUUGAAAAGAGAGUUAAACAGUACGUGAAAUUGUCAAAAGGGAAGCGUUUGACACCAGUGUUGUUUUUCCGAAAAUCAAUUACGAAUGUUUUAUUUUUGAGGAGUUAUGACUUCAUCGGCUUGCUCCUUUCUUUAUGGAACUUUCUUAAUGCACUUUUCGGUUAACAAGUCAACAUCAAUUUCUUUUGUUGUAAAAGGGUAUGAGGAAGGUGGCUUUCUUUUCGGAGAAAGUGUUUAUAGCCUUGUGCCUCUGCAAUCGGAGAGAUUGAGGUCUGCAACGUAGAUCCUUCGGGGUUAGAUACGUUUGUGCUAAGUUAUAGCUUUUCAUAGACAACUUGUUGACUAUGUUUAGUCUUGUAGCUUACUCGCUGACGCUAUUUUACCUACGCUUAGGAUGUUGAACUCUAUCACACACAG
Molecule: ribosomal RNA, 779 nt
Filed under: uncultured Neocallimastigales
Lineage: Eukaryota; Fungi; Neocallimastigomycota; Neocallimastigomycetes; Neocallimastigales
Description: partial large subunit ribosomal RNA
Rfam family: Eukaryotic large subunit ribosomal RNA
Source: RNAcentral